Molecule: ribosomal RNA, 407 nt
Filed under: uncultured bacterium
Lineage: Bacteria
Description: partial 16S ribosomal RNA
Rfam family: Bacterial small subunit ribosomal RNA
Source: RNAcentral
AUUGAACGCUGGCGGCAGGCCUAACACAUGCAAGUCGAGCGGAGCGGCGGACGGGUGAGUAAUUCCUAGGAAUAUGCCUGGUAGUGGGGGAUAAAGUCCGGAAAAGGGCGCUAAUACCGCAUACUCUCAGAUGAGCCUAGGUCGGAUUAGCUAGUUGGUGGGGUAAAGGCCUACCAAGGCGACGAUCCGUAACUGGUCUGAGAGGAUGAUCAGACACACUGGGACUGAGACACGGUCCAGACUCCUACGGGAGGAAGCAGUGGGGAAUAUUGGACAAUGGGCGAAAGCCUGAUCCAGCCAUGCCGCGUGUAUGAAGAAGGCCUUAGGGUUGUAAAGUACUUUAAGUUGGGAGGCGUUACCAACAGAAUAAGCACCGGCUAACUUCGUGCCAGCAGCCGCGGUAAUUC